This 253-nucleotide ribosomal RNA is filed under the name uncultured bacterium. RNAcentral describes it as "partial 16S ribosomal RNA". It matches the Rfam family "Bacterial small subunit ribosomal RNA", at positions 524 to 776 of the family's 1533-position model. The record is from RNAcentral.
UACAGGGGGGGCAAGCGUUGUUCGGAAUUACUGGGCGUAAAGCGCACGUAGGUGGUUUGUUAAGCCAGCUGUGAAAUCCCCGGGCUCAACCUGGGCACUGCGGUUGGAACUGGCAAGCUAGAGUAGGGUAGAGGGGUGUGGAAUUCCAGGUGUAGCGGUGAAAUGCGUAGAUAUCUGGAGGAACAUCAGUGGCGAAGGCGACACCCUGGACUCAUACUGACACUGAGGUGCGAAAGCGUGGGGAGCAAACAGG